Molecule: non-coding RNA, 69 nt
Organism: Podarcis lilfordi (Lilford's wall lizard)
Lineage: Eukaryota; Metazoa; Chordata; Lepidosauria; Squamata; Lacertidae
Source: the annotation of a GenBank genome assembly
GCUAUAGCUCAAUGGCAAGGCAUCUGCUUUGCAUGCAGAAGGUUCCAGGUUCGAUCCCUGCUGUCUCCU